AUACGGAGGGUGCAAGCGUUACUCGGAAUCACUGGGCGUAAAGGAUGCGUAGGCGGAUAAUCAAGUCAAAAGUGAAAUCCUACAGCUUAACUGCAGAACUGCUUUCGAAACUGGUUAUCUAGAAUAUGGAAGAGGCAGAUGGAAUUAGUGGUGUAGGGGUAAAAUCCGUAGAGAUCACUAGGAAUACCGAUUGCGAAGGCGAUCUGCUGGGACAUUAUUGACGCUGAGGCAUGAAAGCGGGGGGAGCAAACAGGAUUAGAAACCCCAGUAGUCC
RNAcentral lists this ribosomal RNA (274 nucleotides) under uncultured bacterium. RNAcentral's name for it is "partial 16S ribosomal RNA". It matches the Rfam family "Bacterial small subunit ribosomal RNA", at positions 523 to 796 of the family's 1533-position model. The record is from RNAcentral.